Molecule: long non-coding RNA, 1036 nt
Organism: Cucumis sativus (cucumber)
Lineage: Eukaryota; Viridiplantae; Streptophyta; Magnoliopsida; Cucurbitales; Cucurbitaceae
Exons: 2
Source: RefSeq, a predicted model, not a curated record
UACUUGUGGCAUGAUCGUAAUUACACAGUAACUUCUCAACCCCUUAACCUAGGACGUUGGUUAGACUGGAUGGUUAAAUAGAGUGGAUUAGUGGUUUGAAAGUUGGGCCAAAUUUUCGCAUGGCUCAUAAUGAUGAGACUGGGGAGAGAAAUUGCCUUCUUGAAAGGAAGUUAUUGGAAUUCCUUUGCAUUGUUGUUUUCUCAUGAUCUGAAAUUGAAUCCUAUCGUUUUUCUAUUGCUGAUUUAGUGUUUCUUAUUAUUCGGUAUUUUCAUUUCAAUUUGAGAUUCAGUUUCUUUUUAUAACUUUGUCAUCUGUUCGUAAUUGCUCUUUCCAAGACAAGUCCAUUUGAGGAUUAAUUUGAUAACCGCUAUAUGGAAGAAAAAAUUAUCAUUUCUUUACUACCUUUCCUUGUCUACUCUUAUUUAUGAAGAAGUUCUAAUGUGAUUAUGACAAACAUUAUGUUAGAUCGUGUCAGUAAAAUUUACAAGAAUUUCCAGGAGAUUCCAUUACCUCAACACUUGAGGGAAGAUGAUGAUAUGCAAAACAAUUCUCUGAAGCACUUGGUGCUGCACAAACACGGGUGGAAGGAUCAUCCUCUUUUUUUAAAGCAGCUUUAACGUGGUCUAUGGAGUUUGGAUCGCAGAGGAGUGGAUCUCUGGAAAUUCAUGUCAUGCUUGCUACAUAUAUAAUUCCGAGUCACCGGAAUUGGUAUGUUCGGCCAGAGAAUAUACUUUAAGUGCUUGUUUGAAGUUUCUUUUUGUUUCCAAGAAUUUUUGUUUUUGGUGUUGGUCUGUAUGAUGACUUCAUUUUAGUUACAAAUGACAUGUUUAGGUGUCUAAAUUGUUAAUAGAAAGAAGAUAUAACAUUCGUUUUAUGAGUAUGUACGUAAUUUGGCAAUGACAUUAUGUACUGCUGACUGCUGCUAUGAUAUGUUUGCUAACAAGGUCAUGAGAAGCAUAGUCCAGUACCAUGAAUGAUGGAACUGUUGUUGAUUGUCCACUUUGACUGAUUUAAUAGUAUCUUCCAGUAUUUUACA